Equus caballus (horse) is the source of this 1343-nucleotide long non-coding RNA. NCBI's taxonomy places the organism in Eukaryota, Metazoa, Chordata, Mammalia, Perissodactyla, Equidae. The record is from Ensembl.
CUACGAUCAAAAUGCCACACGUAAUAGAGCUGGGACUUGAAUCCAUGUGAUCUGACCACAGGGUCUGUAGCUUUAACCAUUAAGCUAUCAUGCCUUCCACGGUCUGCUUUUCUGCUUCUCUUUUUUCUUUUUCUCUGGCCUCUGUCACUCCCCCUAGCUUUCAACUCCCUUCUGACAGUGAACAUUUUUCAAAAUGCAAGAGGUAUGUCUGAAAGAAGCUGCAAAUAGGAGUCUAUCUUGCCCUUAAGCCAGCUUUUCAGUUGUCUUCUUUGGGUUGAGAAGCCUUUCUUUGGUUUUCACACAAUUUUAAUAAUAAAAGCACACAUGAGGUUACUAGUACUACAGCUAGUAUAUGUCAAUGUCCAAGUGCUAACUCAGUAUUGGGCACCUAUUAAACUAUAUGUAUAAGCUUUCUCUUCACUCUCUUUUUUCAUUAAACAGAUGAAUCCCAAGAAUUUCGUUUAAGGGGCAAUUUUUUUUUAAGUUACACAUCAAUAAAUGAUGAACCAAACAUUUCCAUAUGAAGCCAGAUCUACCAAUUACUUUUUACAAAUACCUCCUUCGGAGAGAUCCCUGGGAACAGGAUACUGUUCUGGGAAUUUUUCCUGAUUUUGAAGAAGACAUUAUUCUUUUCUGAGACUCCAAAGAUUAGUCCUGAGCUAACGUCUGUGCCCAUCUUCCUCCACUUUAUACGUGGGACGCCUGCCACAGCAUGGCUUGACAAGCGGUGCUGUGUCCGCAAAUGGUAUGGGAACCAGGAAACCCUGGGCCGCCGAAGUGGAGCAUGUGAAUUUAACUGCUGCACCAUCAGGCCGGCCCCCCUAGGGAGGAAAGCCCAGGAUGUAUUAAUUGAUGCCCUUCCACAUGAAAAUAAACGGAAGAGGAAAGAAAGUUUACUAUCAACACUAUCAACAGCAAAACUUGGAAGAUGUCUGAGCUCUCUCACAUGCUAAGCAUCAACGGAUUAGUACGAAGAUUAGCCCUGAGCUAACUACUGCCCGUCCUCCUCUCUUUGCUGGGGAAGCCUGGCCCUGAGCUAACAUCGUCCCCAUCUUCCUCUACUUUAUAUGUGGGACGCCUACCAUAGCAUGUCGUGCCAAGCCGUGCCAUGUCCACACCCGGGAUCCGAACCGGCGAACCCCAGGUCGCCAAGAAGCGGAACGUGCGAACUUAACCGCUGCUCAACCGGGCCGGCCCUGAGUUUCUACUUUCUGAUAGUGUACCAGACACUAUCUGCUGAAUAUUGCACAAGCUACUUUUCUCAAGUAAACCUCCAGAAUAAUUCUGAUAUACAUAUCAUAUAAAUGCUAUCAUAUAUCUCGCUUAAUUAGGUAGAAACGGAA